RNAcentral lists this ribosomal RNA (286 nucleotides) under uncultured bacterium. Its description in RNAcentral is "partial 16S ribosomal RNA". It matches the Rfam family "Bacterial small subunit ribosomal RNA", at positions 29 to 297 of the family's 1533-position model. The record is from RNAcentral.
AGCGAACGCUGGCGGCGUACUUAACACAUGCAAGUCGAACGGGGGAUCAUCGGUGUAGCAAUACAUCGGUGGUUCUAGUGGCGCACGGGUGAGUAACACGUGGGUAACCUGUCCUUGAGUUCGGGAUACCCUCUCGAAAGGGAGGCUAAUACCGGAUACGUUCCCCGGAUUGCGAAAUCUAGGGAGGGAAGGCGGCGCAAGCUGCCGCUCUUGGAGGGGCUCGCGGCCUAUCAGCUAGUUGGUGAGGUAACGGCUUACCAAGCUAUGACGGGUAGCUGGUCUGAGA